Molecule: ribosomal RNA, 114 nt
Filed under: Staphylococcus aureus
Lineage: Bacteria; Bacillati; Bacillota; Bacilli; Caryophanales; Staphylococcaceae
Source: RNAcentral
UGGUGACUAUAGCAAGGAGGUCACACCUGUUCCUAUGCCGAACACAGAAGUUAAGCUCCUUAGCGUCGAUGGUAGUCGAACUUACGUUCCGCUAGAGUAGAACGUUGCCAGGCA